This 89-nucleotide microRNA precursor is filed under the name Dipodomys ordii (Ord's kangaroo rat). Its description in RNAcentral is "miRNA (ENSDORG00000020696.2)". Lineage: Eukaryota; Metazoa; Chordata; Mammalia; Rodentia; Heteromyidae. The record is from RNAcentral.
UUUCCCAUUUACUUAAUAAAAUAAACUCCUGCUGGGAAUAGGAGCACAGACCUGAAAUCUCAGCACUUGGGAGGCUGAGGCAGGAGGAU